This 478-nucleotide ribosomal RNA is filed under the name uncultured bacterium. RNAcentral describes it as "partial 16S ribosomal RNA". It matches the Rfam family "Bacterial small subunit ribosomal RNA", at positions 28 to 523 of the family's 1533-position model. The record is from RNAcentral.
GACGAACGCUGGCGGCGUGCUUAACACAUGCAAGUCGAACGGUAAGGCCCUUCGGGGUACACGAGUGGCGAACGGGUGAGUAACACGUGGGUGAUCUGCCCUGCACUUCGGGAUAAGCCUGGGAAACUGGGUCUAAUACCGGAUAGGACUCCGGACUGCAUGGUCUGGGGUGGAAAGCUUUUGCGGUGUGGGAUGGGCCCGCGGCCUAUCAGCUUGUUGGUGGGGUGAUGGCCUACCAAGGCGACGACGGGUAGCCGGCCUGAGAGGGUGACCGGCCACACUGGGACUGAGAUACGGCCCAGACUCCUACGGGAGGCAACAGUGGGGAAUAUUGCACAAUGGGCGCAAGCCUGAUGCAGCGACGCCGCGUGAGGGAUGACGGCCUUCGGGUUGUAAAUCUCUUUCAGCAUCGACGAAGCGAAAGUGACGGUAGGUGCAGAAGAAGGACCGGCCAACUACGUGCCAGCCGCCGCGGUAA